UAAAGCUCUGACCUUACGGAACGAGCGCAUUUAUUAGAACAAAACCAAUCGGGUUUCGGCCCGUUCGUUGGUGACUCUGAAUAACUCUGCCGAUCGCACGGUCUCGCACCGGCGACGUAUCUUUCAAGUGUCUGCCUUAUCAACUUUCGAUGGUAGUUUAUGUGCCUACCAUGGUUGUAACGGGUAACGGAGAAUAAGGGUUUGACUCCGGAGAGGGAGCCUGAGAAACGGCUACCACAUCCAAGGAAGGCAGCAGGCGCGCAAAUUACCCACUCUCGGCACGAGGAGGUAGUGACGAAAAAUAACGAGACGGAUCUCUUUGAGGCCCGUUAUCGGAAUGAGAACAAUUCAAAUCCUUUAACGAGGAUCUAGCGGAGGGCAAGUCUGGUGCCAGCAGCCGCGGUAAUUCCAGCUCCGCAGGUGUAUAUCUAUGCUGCUGCGGUUAAAAAGCUCGUAGUUGGAUCUGCGUGCUCGGAACUGGUUGGCUCACUGAGUUCAAACUGGUCUCCGGCGCUUUAUUGGCUGGUUUUCCCUUGAUGCUCUUAACCGGGUGUCUUGGGUGGCUAGCACGUUUACUUUGAAAAAAUUAGAGUGCUCAAUACAGGCGUAAAGCCUUGAAUAGUGGUGCAUGGAAUAAUAGAAUAGGACCUCGGCUCUAUUUUGUUGGUUUUCGGAACGCGAGGUAAUGAUUAAGAGGGACAGACGGGGGCAUUCGUAUUGCGACGUUAGAGGUGAAAUUCUUGGAUCGUCGCAAGACGGACGACUGCGAAAGCAUUUGCCAAGAAUGUUUUCAUUAAUCAAGAACGAAAGUUAGAGGUUCGAAGGCGAUCAGAUACCGCCCUAGUUCUAACCGUAAACGAUGCCAACUAGCGAUUCGCAGGCGUUAAACAACGACCUUGCGGGCAGCUUCCCGGAAACGAAAGUGUUCGGGUUCCGGGGGAAGUAUGGUUGCAAAGCUGAAACUUAAAGGAAUUGACGGAAGGGCACCACCAGGAGUGGAGCCUGCGGCUUAAUUUGACCCAACACGGGAAAACUCACCCGGCCCGGACACCGUAAGGAUUGACAGAUUGAGAGCUCUUUCUUGAUUCGGUGGGUGGUGGUGCAUGGCCGUUCUUAGUUGGUGGAGCGAUUUGUCUGGUUUAUUC
RNAcentral lists this ribosomal RNA (1145 nucleotides) under metagenome. RNAcentral's name for it is "SSU rRNA". It matches the Rfam family "Eukaryotic small subunit ribosomal RNA", at positions 174 to 1325 of the family's 1831-position model. The record is from RNAcentral.